GGAUGGGUGGCUGAGCGGCUGAAAGCGGCAGGUUGCUAACUUGUUAUACGGUUUCAAACCCGUAUCGAGGGUUCGAAUCCCUCCCCAUCCGCCA
This 94-nucleotide transfer RNA is filed under the name Candidatus Kaiserbacteria bacterium RIFCSPHIGHO2_02_FULL_56_30. Its description in RNAcentral is "tRNA-Ser". It matches the Rfam family "tRNA". From Rfam's summary of the family: Transfer RNA (tRNA) molecules are approximately 80 nucleotides in length. Their secondary structure includes four short double-helical elements and three loops (D, anti-codon, and T loops). Further hydrogen bonds mediate the characteristic L-shaped molecular structure. tRNAs have two regions of fundamental functional importance: the anti-codon, which is responsible for specific mRNA codon recognition, and the 3' end, to which the tRNAs corresponding amino acid is attached (by aminoacyl-tRNA synthetases). tRNAs cope with the degeneracy of the genetic code in two manners: having more than one tRNA (with a specific anti-codon) for a particular amino acid; and 'wobble' base-pairing, i.e. permitting non-standard base-pairing at the 3rd anti-codon position. RNAcentral also lists the same sequence under 2 other names. Lineage: Bacteria; Candidatus Kaiseribacteriota. The record is from RNAcentral.